This 375-nucleotide transfer-messenger RNA is filed under the name Pseudonocardia sp. It matches the Rfam family "transfer-messenger RNA". From Rfam's summary of the family: Bacterial tmRNA, also known as 10Sa RNA or SsrA, is named for its dual tRNA and mRNA-like properties. Lineage: Bacteria; Bacillati; Actinomycetota; Actinomycetes; Pseudonocardiales; Pseudonocardiaceae. The record is from RNAcentral.
GGGGGUGAACGGUUUCGACUCCUGAAGCAGACCAAGGGGAAGCGUGCCGAGGAAGGCAACGAUGAGCUCGUUAACCACGCGUUGCACACCAAUAAGUGCCGCUGAUAAGCGCACUGCCAACGAUUUCGCCCUCGCGGCCUGAUCUGAUUGGCUGUCGGCCCGGGGGCGUCUCCGCCCCGGAGUCCGGCAUCAGCUAGGAGACUUCACCCGGCGGUUCGGUCGCGGAGGCGCCGGGGACAUCCAACAGCGACUGGGAUCGUCACACCGGCUCGUCCGCAUGACCGGUGGGUCCGAGUAGAGGCAUCGCGGACUGCGCACGGAGAAGCCCUUGAGAAGCGAGGGAGGACCCGGGUUCGAUUCCCGGCACCUCCACUG